Molecule: ribosomal RNA, 467 nt
Filed under: uncultured bacterium
Lineage: Bacteria
Description: partial 16S ribosomal RNA
Rfam family: Bacterial small subunit ribosomal RNA
Source: RNAcentral
GAUGAACGCUGGCGGCGUGCUUAACACAUGCAAGUCGAACGGAAAGGCCCAAGCUUGCUUGGGUACUCGAGUGGCGAACGGGUGAGUAACACGUGGGUGAUCUGCCCUGCACUUCGGGAUAAGCCUGGGAAACUGGGUCUAAUACCGGAUAGGACCACUUCUUGGAUGUUGUGGUGGAAAGUUUUUUCGGUGUGGGAUGAGCUCGCGGCCUAUCAGCUUGUUGGUGGGGUAAUGGCCUGCCAAGGCGUCGACGGGUAGCCGGCCUGAGAGGGUGUACGGCCACAUUGGGACUGAGAUACGGCCCAGACUCCUACGGGAGGCAGCAGUGGGGAAUAUUGCACAAUGGGCGCAAGCCUGAUGCAGCGACGCCGCGUGGGGGAUGACGGCCUUCGGGUUGGAAACUCCUUUCGCUAGGGACGAAGCGUUUUGUGACGGUACCUGGAGAAGAAGCACCGGCUAACUACGUG